Long non-coding RNA from Marmota flaviventris (yellow-bellied marmot), 1625 nucleotides. RefSeq lists it as uncharacterized. Lineage: Eukaryota; Metazoa; Chordata; Mammalia; Rodentia; Sciuridae. The record is from RefSeq and is a predicted model, not a curated record.
UCCUGCCUCAGCCUCCUGAGCCACUGGGAUUACAGGUGUGUGGCACAGCACAUGACUAAGGAAUGCACUAGUUUUAAAAUGUAAUUGCUUCAGUGUUUUACCUUCUCCUGAAUGAUUUGGAAGGGAGUAGAAUAAAAUGGGAGCCGGCAUUUAAAUCUAAACUAAGAGCAAAGCCAGGAAGUUGGUAGGUUUGAGAUGAAGGGAAGGCCCUGGACCAUAAGGUUCGGCUACAGCACAGGUAACAGUCAGGUAAAGGCAGCCUCUGCUGAAUUGUGUCUGGAAGCCUGGACACUGUCUUGGUGAGGUCCUGCUUGAGAAUGACUGUCAAGAAGCCAACCCCAGACUGGGCCCAGAGGGACAGCUGCAGCGCACAGACAAAACUAGAGGAAAAGUGAUCGAGCAAGCUCUGGAUUCCAUCAGGACCCGGCAAGUCAUUUGUAAACGUUUACUUUGGGGCUCACAGUUUCAGAAGUCUCAGUCCAUAGAAGGUCAACUCCAUUUCUGGAGGCUCGAGGCGAGGCAGAACAUCACGGUGGAAUAACAUUGCAGAGGAAAGCAGGUCAGGACAUAGCCACCAAGAAGCAGAGAGACGGAGAGACACACAGAACUCCACUUUUCAGCGACAAAAUAUAAACCCCAAAAGCAUGCUUUUAAGGACCCAUCUCCUCCAGCCACAUCUUGCCCACAGUUACCAAGUUAAUCCUUAUCUGGAGAUUAAUGCACUGAUUAGGUUAAGACUCACAUAACCCAAUUAUUUUACCUCUUAACUUUUUUGCAUUGUAUCAUAUGUAAACUUUUGGGGGGCCACCUAAUAUCUAAACCAUAAGAGUAGAUAUUAUAUUCAUCUGCUUGGGAUACACUUAGGUUCUUGGAUCUGUAGAUAUAUUUCACCAAUUUUGGAACAAUUUCAUUCUUUAUUUCUAAAAACAUUUCUUACCCAUUCUGUAUUAUCAUUUUGGGACACACAUUCUCUCUCUAUUAGACUGUCUGAUAACGUCUCACAAGUUUCAGAUAGUCUUACUCUUUAAUUAUCAUCAUCAUUAUUAUUAUUUACUUUAUGUGGUUUACUUUGUAUGUUAGGCAGCUCUUCAUAGCUGUGACCAAAAUACCUGACAAGAACAACGUAGAGGAGAAAAAUUUUAUUUUGGGCUCACAGUUUCAGAGAUCUUAGUCCAUGGUCAGCCAACUCCAUUGCUCUGGACCUGAGAGAAGACUGAAGAUCAGGGUGGAAGGACAUGGCAGAGGAAAGCUGCUAAGCCCUUGGCAGUCAGGAAGCAGAGCAAGUUCAAAAAGUUGGGGACAAAAUAUAUAAUCCCCAAGGCAUACCCAGUGACCCACUUCCUCCUGCCAUGCCUCACCUGCCUACUGUUAUCAUCCAGUAAUCCACUCAAAUUAUUAAUCCACCAGGUAGAUUAAUCUAUCAGGUGGAUUAAUACACUGAUUAGGCUAUAGCUUUCAUAAUCUAAUCAUUCCACCUCCUGCAUUAAUGUGUGAGCUUUUGUCGGGGAUGCCUCAUAUCCAAACCAUAACACUUUGUUGUAUUGAUUUAACUUUGAGUUUACUGAUCCUUUCUUCCUCUGUGCCCAGUUCUUAGUUAAUACCUUCAAUAAAUUGUUUAUUUCAGA